Molecule: unclassified non-coding RNA, 227 nt
Filed under: uncultured Ceratobasidiaceae
Lineage: Eukaryota; Fungi; Basidiomycota; Agaricomycetes; Cantharellales; Ceratobasidiaceae
Description: sequence contains ITS2
Source: RNAcentral
AAAUUCUCAAAGUCAAUCUUUUGUUAAUUCAAUUGGUUGUACUUUGGACUUGGAGGUCUUUGCAGAUUAAUAAUCUGCUCCUCUUAAAUUUAUUAGCUGGAUCUCAGUAUAUGCUUGGUUCCACUCGGCGUGAUAAGUUAUCACUCGCUGAGGACACUGUAAAAAGUGGCCAGGAAAUACAGAUGAACCGCUUCUAAUAGUCUAUUAAAUUAGACAAUUAAUUUAAG